GCCCCCGUAGCUCAGGGGAUAGAGCACACGCCUCCUAAGCGUGGGGUCACACGUUCGAUUCGUGUCGGGGGCGC
This 74-nucleotide transfer RNA is filed under the name Deltaproteobacteria bacterium ADurb.Bin510. Its description in RNAcentral is "tRNA-Arg". It matches the Rfam family "tRNA". From Rfam's summary of the family: Transfer RNA (tRNA) molecules are approximately 80 nucleotides in length. Their secondary structure includes four short double-helical elements and three loops (D, anti-codon, and T loops). The record is from RNAcentral. Lineage: Bacteria; Deltaproteobacteria.